This 198-nucleotide ribosomal RNA is filed under the name uncultured bacterium. Its description in RNAcentral is "partial 16S ribosomal RNA". It matches the Rfam family "Bacterial small subunit ribosomal RNA", at positions 1303 to 1500 of the family's 1533-position model. The record is from RNAcentral.
GCCUGCAACUCGGCUGCAUGAAGCUGGAAUCGCUAGUAAUCGCAGAUCAGAAUGCUGCGGUGAAUACGUUCCCGGGUCUUGUACACACCGCCCGUCACACCAUGGGAGUUGGGAAUGCCCGAAGUCAGUGACCCAACCGCAAGGAGGGAGCUGCCGAAGGCAGGCUUGAUAACUGGGGUGAAGUCGUAACAAGGUAAC